UACAGAGGGUGCGAGCGUUAAUCGGAAUUACUGGGCGUAAAGCGCGCGUAGGCGGCUUUGCAAGUCGGGUGUGAAAUCCCCAGGCUUAACCUGGGAACUGCAUUCGAGACUGCAUUGCUAGAGUAUGGGAGAGGGAAGUGGAAUUCCCGGUGUAGUGGUGAUAUGCGUAGAUAUCGGGAGGAACACCGGUGGCGAAGGCGGCCUUCUGGACGGAUACUGACGCUGAGACGCGAAAGCGUGGGGAGCAAACAGG
RNAcentral lists this ribosomal RNA (253 nucleotides) under uncultured bacterium. RNAcentral describes it as "partial 16S ribosomal RNA". It matches the Rfam family "Bacterial small subunit ribosomal RNA", at positions 524 to 776 of the family's 1533-position model. The record is from RNAcentral.